RNAcentral lists this ribosomal RNA (891 nucleotides) under uncultured bacterium. RNAcentral describes it as "bacterial SSU rRNA". It matches the Rfam family "Bacterial small subunit ribosomal RNA", at positions 28 to 896 of the family's 1533-position model. The record is from RNAcentral.
AACGAACGCUGGCGGCGUGGAUAAGACAUGCAAGUCGAGCGAGAUUUUUUCCUGUAGCAAUACAGGGAAAAGUCUAGCGGCGAACGGGGGCUUAACACGUGGGCAACCUGCCGAGAAGUGGGGGAUAGCUCGCCGAAAGGCGAAUUAAUACCGCAUGUGAUCAGAGUGGACAUCCAUUCAAAAUCAAAGGUGGCGCAAGCUACCGCUUCUUGUGGGGCCCGCGGCCUAUCAGCUAGUUGGUGAGGUAACGGCCCACCAAGGCUUUGACGGGUAGCUGGUCUGAGAGGACGACCAGCCACACUGGGACUGAGACACGGCCCAGACACCUACGGGUGGCAGCAGUCGAGAAUUUUUCUCAAUGGGGGAAACCCUGAAGGAGCGACGCCGCGUGGAGGAUGAAGGUCUUCGGAUUGUAAACUUCUGUCAUUGGGGAACAAGGUGCAUACGUUAACUGCGUGUGCAUUGAUAGUACCCGAAGAGGAAGAGACGGCUAACUCUGUGCCAGCAGCCGCGGUAAUACAGAGGUCUCAAGCGUUGUUCGGAUUCAUUGGGCGUAGAGGGUGCGUAGGCGGCGCGGUAAGUCGGGUGUGAAAUCUUGGAGCUUAACUCCGAAACUGCAUUCGAUACUGCCGUGCUUGAGGACUGGAGAGGGGACUGGAAUUUACGGUGUAGCGGUGAAAUGCGCAGAUAUCGUAAGGAAGACCAGUGGCGAAGGCGGGUCUCUGGACAGUUCCUGACGCUGAGGCACGAAGGCCAGGGGAGCAAACGGGAUUAGAUACCCCGGUAGUCCUGGCAGUAAACGGUGCACGUUUGGUGUGGGAGGAUUCGACCCCUUCUGCGCCGGAGCUAACGCGUUAAACGUGCCGCCUGGGGAGUACGGUCGCAAGAUUA